UGAAAACUUUGUUGUGGAAAAAUGGUAAUACAUGUGUAUUGAACUUGGUUUCACCUCCGAUGAGGACACUGCAUGGGUCUCUCAUUGGGUUCAGAAUCAUCGUAGCUGUAAAUUUAGCAUCCAGGCUAAAGCACAAAAGGAGGGUUCAGGGUUGCUUGCACACGGGUGUGUGGAACUUAUCAGCAACGAAAGAAGCCUCGUAAGG
Molecule: small RNA, 205 nt
Filed under: Histoplasma ohiense
Lineage: Eukaryota; Fungi; Ascomycota; Eurotiomycetes; Onygenales; Ajellomycetaceae
Description: hypothetical lncRNA
Source: RNAcentral